GAUGAACGCUGGCGGCGUGCCUAAUACAUGCAAGUCGAGCGAACAGACGAGGAGCUUGCUCCUCUGACGUUAGCGGCGGACGGGUGAGUAACACGUGGAUAACCUACCUAUAAGACUGGGAUAACUUCGGGAAACCGGAGCUAAUACCGGAUAAUAUAUUGAACCGCAUGGUUCAAUAGUGAAAGACGGUUUUGCUGUCACUUAUAGAUGGAUCCGCGCCGCAUUAGCUAGUUGGUAAGGUAACGGCUUACCAAGGCAACGAUGCGUAGUCGACCUGAGAGGGUGAUCGGCCACACUGGAACUGAGACACGGUCCAGACUCCUACGGGAGGCAGCAGUAGGGAAUCUUCCGCAAAGGGCGAAAGCCUGACGGAGCAACGCCGCGUGAGUGAUGAAGGUCUUCGGAUCGUAAAACUCUGUUAUUAGGGAAGAACAAAUGUGUAAGUAACUAUGCACGUCUUGACGGUACCUAAUCAGAAAGCCACGGCUAACUACGUG
This 497-nucleotide ribosomal RNA is filed under the name uncultured bacterium. Its description in RNAcentral is "partial 16S ribosomal RNA". It matches the Rfam family "Bacterial small subunit ribosomal RNA", at positions 28 to 507 of the family's 1533-position model. The record is from RNAcentral.